This 939-nucleotide ribosomal RNA is filed under the name Triticum aestivum (bread wheat). RNAcentral describes it as "partial small subunit ribosomal RNA". Lineage: Eukaryota; Viridiplantae; Streptophyta; Magnoliopsida; Poales; Poaceae. The record is from RNAcentral.
AUGGCUAGUAAUUGGAGUUUCAGACAAUUUGGGGAGGUAAUUUGUAGCCAAUAUCCUUGGGGUUUGCUUGAUGAAGUGGUAUACAAAUACUAUGAUGGGGAAAAGAAUUGGGUGACAGUUAGUAAUGAUGAAGAGCUAGCUACCAUGUUUGUUAGGCAUAAAGAGAAAGAUAAUUUUCAUGUGAGGCUGCAAGUUGAUGUGCUUGAGCAGGCAUUUGGACCUAGGAUGGCGGGUGCAACAUCUCGGGGAGAACCAAGUCGUUGUAAUGGCAUCUCUAGCCAGAACAGUUCAGUUGGUGCACGGCGACGUGGUGGCUCGACAAGUGUGGGCAACAGCAGUAGGGUCCCCCUUGAAGUGGAGCCUGAUGGCUACAAUUCUGGGGUUGAUGAAGAGAAGCUAUAUUAUGAUAUUAUUCAGAAUUUACGACGGGCAUCUCGGACUGAAAACCAAGAUGAGGCUCACAAUGCAGUCCGUGUGGAUGAUGACGCGAUGGGUGAGGACGAAGACCUUGCAGCUGUUGAAUGGGACCCUUUGAACCCUCAUAUGAAAGAAGGUACAAUUUUUGCAUCCAUGAAUGAGUGUAGAAAUGCACUUGUGACAUACUGCAUCAAGGUAGAACGUACUUUCAAAGUUGACAAGAGCGAUCAAGUACGUUACAGAGUGCACUGUCCGACUGAGGGUUGUCCAUGGAGGCUGCUUGCAUCUAAAAUGCGGAAUAGCACUAAUGUUCAGGUCAAAGAGAACCCUUUUAAGCACACAUGCCAGGAAUCAACCCUUAGGAAGGAUACAAUCAGUAGAGCCAAGUCAAGAUGGGUGGCAGAAGAAGUAAAGAAGUGGGUGAAAGAAAACCAGCAAGUGGGUCCAAAGGAAUUGCAGAAGAACAUCAAAGAUAAGUUCAAGAUAGAUUUACCAUACAUGAGGUUGUUCAAUGGUAAAUAA